Molecule: microRNA precursor, 90 nt
Filed under: Alligator mississippiensis (American alligator)
Lineage: Eukaryota; Metazoa; Chordata; Crocodylia; Alligatoridae
Also listed under: 1 other name
Description: microRNA ami-mir-200b precursor
Gene: ami-mir-200b
Rfam family: mir-8/mir-141/mir-200 microRNA precursor family (bases 13-80)
About the family: The bounds of the precursors are predicted based on conservation and base pairing and are not generally known.
Source: miRBase by way of RNAcentral
UCCUGGGAUGCCGUUACCAUCUUACUGGGCAGCAUUGGAUGUUUUCUGUGUUUCUAAUACUGCCUGGUAAUGAUGAUUAUGGUGUCUCGC